This 484-nucleotide ribosomal RNA is filed under the name uncultured bacterium. RNAcentral describes it as "partial 16S ribosomal RNA". It matches the Rfam family "Bacterial small subunit ribosomal RNA", at positions 30 to 507 of the family's 1533-position model. The record is from RNAcentral.
AUUGAACGCUGGCGGCAGGCCUAACACAUGCAAGUCGAGCGGAUGAAGGCAGCUUGCCCCUGGCUUCAGCGGCGGACGGGUGAGUAAUGCCUAGGAAUCUGCCUGGUAGUGUGGGAUAACGUCCGGAAACGGGCGCUAAUACCGCAUACGUCCUGAGGGAGAAAGUGGGGGAUCCUCGGACCUCUCGCUAUCAGAUGAGCCUAGGUCGGAUUAGCUAGUUGGUGGGGUAAAGGCCUACCAAGGCGACGAUCCGUAACUGGUCUGAGAGGAUGAUCAGGCACACUGGAACUGAGACACGGUCCAGACUCCUACGGGAGGCAGCAGUGGGGAAUAUUGGACAAUGGGCGAAAGCCUGAUCCAGCCAUGCCGCGUGUGUGAAGAAGGUCUUCGGAUUGUAAAGCACUUUAAGUUGGGAGGAAGGGCAGUAAGUUAAUACCUUGCUGUUUUGACGGUACCAACAGAAUAAGCACCGGCUAACUUCGUG